Molecule: long non-coding RNA, 8179 nt
Organism: Gallus gallus (chicken)
Lineage: Eukaryota; Metazoa; Chordata; Aves; Galliformes; Phasianidae
Exons: 6
Source: RefSeq, a predicted model, not a curated record
AUGCCAGGUUUCUGCAAAGUGAAGGAACGAUGUAAGAGGUCUUUUUGUGUUGGGGUGGAGUGGGGGUAACACAGCCAAGGAUUAGAGCGUACACUGUCCUGGAUGCAUUUCCUCACUUGGCUGCCCUGUUGCAUAUCUUCCCCAGGGAGGCGGUGGAGUCGCCAUCCCUGGAGGUGUUCCAGGGCCAUGGAGAUGUGACACUGAGGGAUAUGGUCAGGAGGCAUGGUGGGAUGGGUUGGGGUUGGACUUGGUGAUCUUAGAGGCCUUUUCCAACCUCAGUGAUUCCAUGAUCUCACCAUGCAGAGCUCACUGUGUCCCCUUGUAGUGUUUCCUGAAGGCCUGGGAAUACACACAGCAGUAAGAUCAUUUUGGAUGUUGGUUGUUUGUCUUGGGAUGUAGAAAGUCACCACAGAACUGUAGAAUAUCCUGAGUAUGAAGGGACCCACAGGCAUCAUUGAGUCCAACUCCUGCCUAACCAUGGGUCAGCUGAUGCACAGGGAGAUUCUAAGGUUGCCUGCAGGUCUACCAGGAACAAACUGCCCAUACUUCUAUGUGCAGAUCUGUCAGAAGAGGACACGUAAUUCCCCAAGGUGUAUAAUGGCUAAUAAGCAUCCCAGCUGCACAGGCAGUGCUCACCACAUCAUGUCUUCCAGUCCUCCACUGCUUCUUGACUACUUUUCACCUACUGUAGGUCGUGUCUGAGACAGGGUGAGCACUGCAGGCUGUUAUAAGUGUACUUCCAGAAAUACACUACUUUUAUUUAUUUUCACUCGUCCCUGCUUUGCAAGGAUGGAGUGUGUGGGAAGAACAAAUGAUCUGUCCUUGCAGAUUUAAAUAGAGGAAGAAAAUAAAUUGUAUGUGAAUAUAUGAUCUUGCUUCAAAAUGAGGAAGCAUGGAUUUUGAGCUCAGAGAUGGCUUUGCAAGGAAAAUGCCUGGUUUCCAGACCCUGGCACAUCCAUCAGGCAGGAGAAAGCUCUGAGUUGAGUUCCCACCUCACCUGCAGGAGUUUCAAGGUGCAAUUCACCUUCUGCAGGAGUUUGCACAGUGGUAUGGCAGGCUUUGGCUGUAGUUGGUUUGACUUUGUUUGCUUUGUGGCCUGGUGGUCCCAAAAUAACAGAGAAGGGACCACGAAUGCCAUCUAUUGGAGACAUGGAAGAAGGGAGAAGACAGUCUUGGCUUCAUUUGUGUGGGUGAUAUGCUACUGCAAACAGGCUGGCUGUUUCAGCUCAGAAAUCCACUUCCAUCUUAAGUGGGUAGGUGAUAAAGUGCCUUGUCUCUAUUGCACAGCAAUAAGGCAAAGGUACAGCCUGCAGUAUGGGAUGUUCAAUGUAAACAUUGUCUAGUCAAACCCUCACGGGAAGUGGGGCAACAAAACAGGACAAUUUCUUAGCAGUGAGUGGUUUGCUGAUGUCUGGACAAAGGCAAAGAGUGAAGGCCAUGGUGGUUGAACUCACACAUCAGCUUUGGAGCUGUGAAACUGGAGAUUUGCUUCUCUCCUGGUUUGGGGACAAAGGCAGCACAUACAAAUCAAAGAAUCAUGGAAUCAUAGGAUAGCUUGGGUUAGAAGAGACCUCAAAGAUCAUGGGCAGGGCUGCCAUUCACUAAAUCAGGCACCAGCUCAGGCUUUUCAGGUCCCCAUCCAUGGCCUUGGGCACCUCCAGGAAUGGGGCACCCACAACACCUCUGGGCAGCAGUGCUGGGGCCUCACCACCCCCUUUGUGGUUGAACUGAGACUCAGGACUGAGAUGCGUUCACAAUAACGUUUACUUGGUGGCAACACUGUGAUCGUAGCUCUUAUUCUUCACGAAUUUCCACAGACACACUAAACACCAUUGUAAACUGCAGGAUCCCUGGAGAACAUGAAAAUUAACAGCAGUGCCUGCACGCUGCAGUUACCACUGGGCAAAACCCAGAAAUUCCUUUUUGCUGAAAAGUCCAAUUCUGUGGAAAACAGUGAUCCAGAAUUACAGACUCUUAGAAAAAUAGGAGUCCUGAAAAAAAAUAAAGUUCAGAAAUUAUCCUUCUUGGCUCCUUUAAAGCUGUCUGGGUGUUGAGCUUCUCUAAGAGAGAUCAGCUUCUCUCUUUCUUUUAAUUUACACUCAGUGCUACUCUAAUUAGUAUUGAGUGAAACAGCUUCUUUUACCAUUUAAUCCAAUGUGUCAAACAAUUCCCUUCCAGCAGUGAGACUCACCUCGGAUGAGCAGAUAAGGUGUUUCAUUAGAGCAGGAGCUGCUCUCAAUAUUGCAGAAAACUGAUCUCAAGCCUAAAUAAAAGCAGACGAAAUACGGAGCCGGACAGUCAGGCGGGCAGGAGAAACCCAACCACCCAACCAUUCUCCCAGAGAGACCAUUUGAUGCAUUUUUAUUCCCUUCCUAGAAAAUUAAUUGAUUUUAUUUUAUUUUACUUUUUUUUUUUUUUUUCCAAGAGGAAUUUCAGUUUUGCUGAAAGGUUUUAUUUCCGAGCAGUUGCAGCCUUGGCAAUGCCCAACUGGGAAGCUCUUUGCAAUGGAGCACAAUGCAGCCCCGGAAGAUGGAGAGCACAGUCAGUUUUCUGCCCGUUUUACAGAUCGGAAGGCUGAGGUGUGAUCUACCCUUCAUUUUAUUCCAUGCUUCAAGGUCUGGUGGUUGGCGACCCUCCACAUAGCAGGGGGGUUGAAAUGAGGUGUUCAUUGUGGUCCUUUUCAACCCAGGCCGUUCUUUGAUUCUAUGAUCACUGAAUCAUAGGAACUGUGAUGCCUUCUACGGAGCAUGAGCUCCCUAGUAAAUUCAAUACAACAAUCUAAAAAAAAAAUAAAAAAUCCCAUUUUAAGUUUAAACAUAACCAAAGAUUAAAGCAAGAGCACCUUAUGUACAAAAUGACAUUCCUCCCUUUGAGCAGGCAAAGAAUUGGAGACUCCAAGGAUAUUAUUGUUGAUUUAGGUAAACCACAGCUCUCCAAGCCUUGCAUGCUGUCCCCAAUGGGACAGUAGCAGCAUCCUUAGAGGGACACAGUUGUGGAAAAUGUCUAAAAUAGGAUAAAGCAGUGUUGAAGCACUGAUUGAGGUGGUGUGUUUGCUGCAGUGGCCCUGGACAUCUGCUGGGUUUUGGGUGUAGGACUUGAAGCUUGGUGUCCAGUGAGUGCUCCAGCAGCAGAGGUGAUCAAGGGCUAGGAGAGGGAGGACGGCCUUCACUUCUGCCUUGGAUCAGAAGUGCUCCCAUAGCAUAACAAACCAUUUUUGUUUUAAUUUUCUUUUGGACAAGUUGAGAUUUUCUAAGAAAAGAAAAGAAAACAGACUCCUGAUGUACUCCAACCUGUGCCAGUUUCUACCCACUCGUGCAAAGGAUGUGGGCAGUGAGGGUCAGAGGACUUGUGGGACCAGACUGAGAGUGAAAAACAGGGAGUGAGGGGAGGAGGUAUGGGAGGAGAACAGCCACAGCUGCUGUCAGGUAACACGUGACAGUUUUUGAGCAACAGCCCAUCACAACGGAGUCCAUCCUACUUGGAUUUAAAGGCCAUGGUGCAGAUUAAGGACCCAACAGAGCUGCCUUGAAAUUCUUGUGCUCACGAGAGAGAACUGCUUUGGUGCAACGCAUGCAAGAAUGAAAUAUCAUCAUAGAAACAUAAAGGCUGGAAAAAAGACCUCUCGGAUCACCAAAUCCAACCCAUCCCACCAUGCCCACUGACCACGUCCCUCAGUGCCACAUCUCCACAGUUCUGGAACACCUCCAGGGAUGGUGACUCCACCACUCCUUGGGCAGCUGUGCCAUUGCAUCACCACCUGAGAAUGAGCCACAAGAUAUCCAUCUUUUCAUAGAGCUUCCAAGAGCAGUCUUCAUGUAACUGGGUCUGGAACCACUGUGCCACAUGCUGGUUUUAUUGCUGUGAUAACAGAGAUUAGUCUAUUCCCUGUAUCAUAAGCACUAAAGCUGCAGCUGCUGAGAAGAACUGCUCCAGGCUAAGUCUUAACAAAUAUCUUGGCUGGUGAAUACAGAAACAUAGCAUCAUAGAAUGGUUUGAGUGGGAAGAGACCUUAAAGAUCAUCUGGUUCCAGCCCUCCUGCUAUAGGCAGGGACAUCUCAAAACCUACUCCAUUCCCUAUCCUUGUCCUGAUCCAAAUUCAGCCUUGGUGAUUUUUCACCUGAGCCAGUUUCCAUUCUAUUGGCUGGGAGAAUUAAUUGUAUCACCCAGUUUUUCAGAUUCUUCCUGCCUUGAAUGAGACACUCAGAACCCUGCAGGUUUUGUUGAUGCUGUUAUAAAUGACUGUAAUGUCUAUAAAACAUGCACUGUAGUUUUCUGUUUACAGCAUCCCCACAUCAUUUCAAUGUUGCACAGCUGUACAUAGCAUUCUCCUACUGCAACUUCAGAAUUUAAACUGGAGUCCCAGUGGAAUUUGUAGUGCUCCCUUUCCUGCAUCCCCAGCUGCCACAGGCGUUUGAAGAUUUCAGAUGGGGAAAUAAAUGAAUGGAUUUCUCCAAACCUCAUUCCUUGCACAAUCCUUUCACUCUUCAGGGGUACCAAAAUGAGCUCAGCCCAAGGAUGCUUGCGCCAAUUUGUGUGUGCAACAAAGGGAAUGAAAUGCAUACUUCAGCAAAAGGUUUGGUGUCCUACAACACAGAGCAUACUGCUGCUCAGAGGGCUGGCCUCAGAGACCUCAGGAAAGCCACUCAAACAGAAGCUCAUGGCUGAAAUAUGUGAAUUUCCAAAAAGCUGUGAUGUUGGCCUUCAUCAGGCAAACCAUGAUCAUACAGCGAGCAAUGCUGCCUGGGAAGCAGUGACCAAAAAGGAUCUGAGGUCCAACUGUUAAGUCCCAACACCCAAUGUGAUGCUAUGGACAAUGAAGCUGAUGGGGCAUUGUGUGUUUGACGUGGAAGAGUGCAGUGCGUCUGCAGCCCUCGCUUUUGUGAGCUCUCUGCCAGGCUUGGAACUGCCCCAGAUCUGAUGAUGAACCUGCAGAAGAGAGCAGGAGGUGGACAGAAGGUUUCCUUGAGGGUUGAACAGGAGAGGCCAACAAAAGGAGAGCUGUCAGGAAUCAGAGCUAUUCAGCAGCUUCCCUUAGCCCAACGUCAUCUGCAGCUCUAGCAUGUGGACUUGGUGUGGAGGUAAACAACUGAUUGUGAAAUCCCCUCCUGUGCUGUCACCUCCACUGGCAGACCAAUGACUUUUGGGAAGGCAGUCUGCCCUUCACAGCCAAACACAAGGAUAAAUGAGGUUGCACUGUGGGCAGUCAACCCUGAGUGCUACAUGAAAACCUGGAGGCAUCAGGCCUUGCUUGCAAAGAGAUCUUUAGAAGCCGCCUGAAUGUGGUCCUGGGCAAUUGGCUCUAGAAUACUCCGGUUAAAAUGACCUCCAGAGGUCCCUUCCAACCUCAAAAACUCUGUCAUUUUGUAAAACCUUCUGCACUGUGGGAGAGUUCAGCCCCCAUGACCAAAGUCCAGGACAGAUCUUCCACUGAGAGGGAUUGGGUGCCUCCACUGGGUUCAGUUUCAGGUUAUAUUCAAUAAGGCCUCUUGCCAGGUUUUUAAAUGCAAUAGAGAAGCCAACCCUAGUCACCACAGUAAGCCAUAGGCAAUUUCUGCCUAUGUCAAUAAGGAGAGGUGAGGCCUUUGUAAGGAGAGGAUGUGCAAGAACUGCCAUAGAGCACAGCAGUUUGGCAGUUGCUUCUCCCAGUUCACAUUACCAAGGUAUCGAUAGCAAGUCGAAUGGCCCCACGGUUCUGGAUUCGAUGUGCAAGAGACUGUUUAUAGCAUCUGCUGAGAGGCAGUUACUUUUACUCUCAUUGGCAAAUCAUUGUUUACGUCUCGUGUUUCGAAAUGCAGCUGGGUUCCAGCCUUUCCUCACCAACUGGCGGAAUCUGUGCCCAUGUGCUGCUCUUUAGCAACACAAACAGCACAGCCAGAAUCCACUUAGCAUGGUUUGCUAACCCUCCAAACACGCAAGGCUUGGCUACAAGCACGCCAGCUUGUUUCCAACAGCUCCUCAAGCAGAGAGCACAGUGGGAAAGUCACAAUUGGGUUAAGGGGUGGCUGAACACCUGCUGAGUAGCCCAAAACAAGAACGGGCUUGAUUCUUGCAUCAAGGUCAAGUGUGCCAUUUAUCUUCUCAACAUGAAUCAUCUUCUUUUCCUCUGUUCCAUUUGUGAUUCUAGUGAUGUCUGCUGAUUCUUGUACAUUUCACUCAUUCUGCCUUUUUUUCUGGGGGGGGGGGGGGGCUGUCAGCAACACCAGCAUCCAUCUAGCUCAAAGAUGUUAUGUUGCAGGAAAGAUUCUGAGAACUCAAAUGGGAUCUCAAGUUAUGAAGGUACAGAUUAAAGGCCAUGAGAAGAUGUACAGAGAUAACUGUGGUGAGCUUGGAGGGACCACAUUCAUCCAUUCUGAGCUGCACUCAGUCAUUGGAUCAUCAGAGAAUCAUAGAAUGUCCCAAGUUGGCAGCAACCUCAACGAUCCUUGAGUCCAGCUCCUGGCUCCCUGCAGGACCACACAAGAACCAAACCAUAUGUCUGAGAGUGUUGUCUGAAUUCUUCUUGAACUCCAUGAGGCCUGGUGUCAUGACCACUGCCCUGGGGAGCCUACAAAGAAAGUAAAGCCUGAAUGCACGCUAAAGCCUCUCCUGCUGUGCUGCUUGUUCCAGCCUGGUAGGAGGAAGCUCAGCCCUCCUUAUGGAUCUGUCCUCAGAUAUGGGAAGAAGGUACAAAACACAGCAUAUAGAGCAACCAGUAGCUGUUACUGCUAGACGUCACAUAUUGAAGUCCUGCACUACCUCUGUAAGUCCCAGAUGCCUUUUUAGGUUGGGAGAUUUUCUUUGCAGAACUCCAGUGGUGGCAUCUCAAUAUGUGCGCUGGAUCUUGUGGUCCAACCAGCACUGCAGAUAUUAUCUCUGAUGUCUCUCACACGGUUUAACUCCAAGGCUUAGACACAUCUUACAGGAGACCAAGCUGAGGGAGACCACUUGUAGACCAAGCUGAAGGCAAUGCCCUAUUUGUUGGUGUGAGCAGCAAAUGAGAUGGGAGUGUACAGAGACUACACUCAUAGAAUCACUAAGGUUGGAAAAGACCUCUGAGAUCAUCCAGUCCAGCUGUCCACCUAUCACCAGUAUUCUCCCACUAAACAAUGUCUUUCAGUACAACAUCUAAACGUUUCUUGAACACCUCCAGGAAUAGUGAUUCAACCUCCCUGGGCAGCCCAUUGCAGCUGAACUGUAAUAGAGGUGUCACAGUGAUAGGUAAACAUUAGGUUUUAGCCAAAUAUGUGAAGAGACAUAAUUCAAGGGAGAGAACUGAGAAACGAAGGCCAAAGUUUUUAACUAGAGGGUGAAAGAAGAAAUUUAAGCAGCCCCAAAGCUUGUUGGUUCACCUUAUACAGGUGAAAAAUUCAAGCUCUGAUGGCAUCACUUAAAUCCAGCUUCCAAGAAACUGCACUUUGAGUUAUGGAGCUGCCUGGUGAUGAGUUUCUCCUGUUAGGAAGUGAGAAGGGCUCAGAGGAGAGGACCUGGGAGAAGCCACUCCUUCUUGUUUUCCAGCCUGGUCCCAGGGUCAGGCAGCUGACGGAGUGAUGAGGGAUGGCUGACUCAUCAGCCUUUGUGUUGUUUCGCAGAAGCCAUGCAAAGCUCCUGACAGCCUCUGAUUUCACAUUACAUAAGGCAAUACACCCCAGUGCCACAUGUGCUACAUCACAUUCCUCUUCAGCAGAAUCCUUCGGCUCUCCAAACCAUGUCGUGUUUAUGUAGACUCCCAAGCACCAGUUAUGCAAUCUUUCCCAUUCUCUCUAGCCAACAAACAUCCAAUUAAAAUGUGCAGUUACCAUGGUUUCUCCCUCACCAACCUAGGUAGCAUAAAUGUGAAGUUUGGGUUUGAGAAAAAAAAAAAAAAAAAAAGGAAAAAAAAAGAGGUAUUUUCUGAUUAAGCAAUGUACUCAUUCAGUUGAUGGCCUUAAAAUGUUCUGUUCAGCCCACUCAGUGUUUGGGUGCUUUAAUGGUUUUCUUUUCUAUGUUGGGGUUUUAUUUUUUUGUUUGGUUGCUUUUGUUGUGUUUUUUUUUUUUUUUAAGUACUCAAAUACAUGGAAAGGGAAGAGCUUGGGAAUGGUUUGCCAUGACAAAUACAUUGUUUUCAGAGUAAAUUUAAGCAGCCAGAGAGGGGAACUGGAGCUGGGGAAUGUUUGCUGGAGUAUAUGAACGUGCUGUUGGAAAUAACUCGUUGUUGGUAAAA